GAGGGGCACAGCUCAGUCGUAGAGCACAUGCUUGGUAUGCACAAGGUCCUGGGUUCAAUCCCCAGGACCUCCA
This is a non-coding RNA of Camelus ferus (Wild Bactrian camel), 73 nucleotides long. The record is from Rfam. NCBI's taxonomy places the organism in Eukaryota, Metazoa, Chordata, Mammalia, Artiodactyla, Camelidae.